GAUGAACGCUGACAGAAUGCUUAACACAUGCAAGUCAACUUGAAUUUGGGUUUUUAACUUAGGUUUGGGUGGCGGACGGGUGAGUAACGCGUAAAGAACUUGCCUCACAGCUAGGGACAACAUUUGGAAACGAAUGCUAAUACCUAAUAUUAUGAUAAUAGGGCAUCCUAUAAUUAUGAAAGCUAUAAGCGCUGUGAGAGAGCUUUGCGUCCCAUUAGCUAGUUGGAGAGAUAACGGCUCACCAAGGCGAUGAUGGGUAGCCGGCCUGAGAGGGUGAUCGGCCACAAGGGGACUGAGACACGGCCCUUACUCCUACGGGAGGCAGCAGUGGGGAAUAUUGGACAAUGGACCGAGAGUCUGAUCCAGCAAUUCUGUGUGCACGAUGAAGUUUUUCGGAAUGUAAAGUGCUUUCAGUUGGGAAGAAACAAAUGACGGUACCAACAGAAGAAGUGACGGCUAAAUACGUG
RNAcentral lists this ribosomal RNA (467 nucleotides) under uncultured bacterium. Its description in RNAcentral is "partial 16S ribosomal RNA". It matches the Rfam family "Bacterial small subunit ribosomal RNA", at positions 28 to 507 of the family's 1533-position model. The record is from RNAcentral.